UCCCACCCUUCUCCCCAUUGUCGGAUCCGCUUGCUCGUCAAGGUUAGGCGGCGAAGCUCCACGUCCGCGAAGCGCACGUGCUCGUCAAGGAAGCGGCUCCCGGAUCUGAGAUCGCGCGGCCGUGACGGAAGGGGCUCGAGGUGGCCGCCGAAGACCAAGCCGUUCACGCAAGCCCUCGACACGAUCCUCCCGACGCAUGCACUCCUCGCGUCCUCGCGCUGCCGUUCUCUUCUUCUCUCCGAUCUCCUCGCCCUGCCCGACGACGCCGAGGCCCUCCGAGGUCCAGGUCGCUGUGCGGCGUGCACCGUGAGCCCUCAACUAGCGCGCGUGUGGCCACUGCAUCAGGGCAUGUACGGUUGUGCCAGUAAAGCUAUUUGAUAUAUGCCACUAUGUAUGUUCCUGCAAAAGGGGUUUGCAUUAUGUAUGUUCUUGUUGUACAUCAAUGAGAAUAGCAAGAACAGCAGAGGAAUCUAUGGCAAAAAUAAGGAGCGACAUUCUUCUUAUUUCAAAGAAAGGCAUCAAGUAGAUUCAUGUAGAAUGACUAUGGGAAGAUUAUCUUUUGAGAGCCGCUCCUCUCCCCUCCCUGGCCGGAGGAAUCCCCACAUCCCCAAGCUCGACGGGCUUGCCAGACGACUGAUUGAGGUCCUUGCCAUGGCCACUCACACAGCCGGUGAGUCCCGUAGGCUGCCGACGUCACCAACCGUCGCGCGCCGCCGGUCUGCCUAGCCCACUGCCAGCUGCGGGCGGCCAGCUGGGGUCGAACUCCAUGCAUGUUCCAUGCCGGCCAAACGAGACCGCCCUCCACGCCGGGACGCUGACACGCUGGCCUGCCCGUCCCUUGCUCCACGUCCCGGCCUGCACGUCCCCUGCUCCGGACGGACGCACCAAACUCCACAACUUCCCGGCAAUCCGACCACAGGCAGACGCAUUUUCUUCAGGUUCACACAACUUCCCUGUCGUCAAUCAAUGGACCUGCAUUUGAAUGAAAACAACUGUAUUUAGUUGGUUAUUGUACAAUAUUUGGUUUUGGUCAUAUUAAUGCAGGGGAAUUCAGAUUACAGUACUGUGUAAUCAUAGUUGUAGCAGCACAGAGCAGAGCCUCUCCGAUCGGUAAGGAAAAUUCAGGAAGCACAUCACACCAUUUCUUACCUAGCCUACUGCAUUGUUGUUGCUUCAGCAAUCACGCUGGUGCAUCGAUCCUCCUAGCACAUAUAUAAAUUAAAUUGUGUAUAGAUACGAACUGCUUGAGCAAUCACGCUGGGUUUUCAUGACCACCUUCUGCCCUUCUCCAGUAAUAUCUGUCAGAUCCUUGGCGUGAUCUAUGUACUAGGUAUUAGAACUGUAAGUAUAACAUUGUCUGAUGAUGUCCUAUACAUGUGAAAUGCAGUUUGUAAACAUUCAUUUGCCGAAGAAAUCAUGGGAUUUAGUUAUAUCUAUUUUCUCAUAUUGAUUCUUCAUGCUAUAAAUCCAUAGAAGAAACAAAGCAGAUUGAUUAAAUACCACUAUAAGCAGUUUUUCCCAAAUCCUGUUACAACUAAGUGAGCCUGACAUUUUGCAGCAAAGAAUAAUCAAGAAAUUUGCAGCAUAAUAUAUCAAAAAAUAAUUAGAGAGGAGAGAAAAAUGGAAAGAACUUUCUCAAAAAAAUAUAUGUAGGUGAACCCAAUAGGAGAAGUUCAAUUUCAGCCAAAACAUUAAUUAUAUAACCUUUAUGCAUUCAGGAAAAUAUGGACGUGAAGAGAACACCUUAAAUUAGUUAGGCGAUACACGUUUACUCGAGUGCUCUGAAAGCUACACUAACCUGGCAGAAUAUGACCACAAUUCAGUAGUUUCGUGAGGCCUGUGGUGGCCAAGGUUUGAAGACUGAGUUUUCAAAGCUGAAUCUGAUGUCCAGUCUACAUUUCAUGGUGACAACAACGUUCUACUUCUACUGCAGCAGGUUAUUUUAUUUUUUGUUCAUCGUUCGUGCAUGUGUUCUAAAAGUUACUCCAAGCUUGGUUUUGUAUCUCUGUAAUCUGUAUAUAAAUAUUGGCUUUGAUUUUGGAGGACGAGAUGACUGCUCCUGCUGGGUAUAACACUCUUGGUCGUAUUCUGGCGCCGCUGGCCAGAGAAGCCAAAAGGAGGCACGACUAGCUCCGUCUUCUCGCAGUGACGAUGGCCUUCCUCUAAAAAGUUUGAUGUCUCAACCGCCACACACGCUGGGGAAAGCAAGUCUGAGCCUGAGAAACCGUAUCGCUUGGUACAGGGAAUUUGUUGGCUAAUGACUUUGAGUUGAAUACUGCUUGGUUGCACACUUGCAGUAUAUUAUGUCCAUCAGUAAUCUCCCCGGCCUACUCUCUCUUCAUGUCAAUGCUCCAGUGCUCGGACCCUCCCUGACCCCUCCCAGCAAGCAGCAGAGUCUCUCGGGUUCGAGCUCCACCGGGCCGGCGGCGGCGGCGUCCAUGUUCGUUGGGCGGAGCACAACGCUGGUUUUGAAAUCCACCAUGAUGCUACUGAUGAGGCUCUCCUUCUCCUUUGUCCAUCGGUUAUCAGACAACCGUGUAUGAGGCGUCCACCAUCGUACACGCAUUUGAUCAUGCUGAUGUGCCUAGCUGUGGGUUGGCUUCUGUUGGGAUGCUUCGAGAUUUCACGGAUCCAUUAUGACGAAAUAGGGUCCCCCCCCCCCCCCCCCCGCGGCUUUAUUUCACGAAUCCAUUAUCGCCUACAGAACAACGUCCUGGCCCUCCCAGUUUGAGUGAUUCUCUUUAUUUUUCUAUAUCUCAACUGUUACAUGCAUUGUUUAUAUUCGCCGGUCUGCACCCCCGCGUCUCCUCACGUUAAUGUGGCUACUGGCCACGGGACUGACGAGGAGGUCGUGGUGGAGGGGUGGUGCUGGCUGUAGCCUAGCAGGAUAUCAUAAGCUCUCCCAUGUUCUUUUGUGUAUGAAUCAGAUUUAGUGGUUCUUGAUUUUACAGGCAUGCAUCGAUCUUGCUCAUGUUCUAUAUGUAGGAUACACUUAAUGUUUUACAGGAUGUUCUGCAGAUUUUUAGAACACUGAGGGCAUAUCUUGGCUUGGAAUGCUGCUGGGUCGAUGAAGGUCAUGCAACGUGGCAGGUGUACAUGUGUCCACUUGGAAGCUGCUUGAGUUGUUCAAGACAAAAACCAAGUCUAUAUAUGAUGGACUGCACUCCUAUUUUUUUUAUGUGUGCGCCUGCUCCGUGCUCUUUUGUUCCCAGCAGGCUGUUGUGUUGAUCCGUGGGGAUUUGUUUUUACCUCUGCCAUUAGUUUGCUCUGUAAAACGCAGGUGUUCCUGGUUUUGCUUACUCGUGGUUGUAUGUUGGCUUCGUGCUGGCGGGCUAUAGUUCUCCUGUCACAAAUCAUGGAGACAUUCAUCCUCACAGAUUUCUGCUCCUGCUAUGUGAAAAGGUAAAUUCCAUCGAACGAACCCCCUGAAUAAAGUGAUGUCCAUUUCGAACUAUUUGGUUAAAGGAUAUUCCAAGAAUUCCCACUCUCGCAAGAAAACAACUUGGAUCACUUAUGAUAAGAUGUUUUGGUGUUAAGUUUCUCCUCUAUUAUGGACCAAGAAGAUGAAUUAUUUUGGCAACAUCAACUGCAUUUGUACUGACAACAAAAAUAUUGUUACUUGGAUGCUCUUACAUUUAGAGGUACACUAUUAUCUCUGCACUUUAUUGUUACUACUUGAAAGCUCCAUAACAUCCAUGUGUAGAUGCACUUCCAGUCGAUUUAUGGUUGGCAUUAAAGUUAACCUUUAAAUUGAACUUGCAUGUCAAUACGUCAUCUUAAUUUGUGAGUAGAAAUUCUCACUGUGCCGUUUGAACUCCACGUCAAGAAUGGAACGAUCUGUAUUUAAAGCCCUGCUUGAUGAGAAACUGUCAAAUAAUUGUUAAUCUUAAAUUGUAGACAAGAUAUCGAGCCAAUCAUUCUAUAGCUUUGAUAAUUUAGCUCCUUUAGAUUGAUAUUCCAGAACAUCUUCUGCAACAUAGUAUUUUUGGAUGAAAUCCCUUUAUCAUAGUUAUUUAAGAGUACCGUCCACUUGUCGAGUGUGUGAGCACCCAAGGAAUGUUUAGUGCUUUGUCCAUUGUUCACUUGACUGCAUGAUCUAUUACUCCCACUGAUCCAUAUUAGUUGUCGCUGAAACGGAUGUAUCUAGACGUAUACCAAUGCUAGAUACAUCUGUUUGAGACAACUAGUAUGGAUCGGAGGGAGUAUCAAUUUUAUACAAUGCACUAAGACCAAUCGGCUGAAUAAGUACUAUUUCAUCAUUUUUCUGUUUAUGUACCUGUUUAUUCAUGUUGAUGAUCUGCACAGAGAAAAAUGCAUGACAACCUCCAUCUUGAUUGCGUGAUCUCGUUUCAUUCUUAUUUUUCAGACGAUAGGUAGAUAUUUUGAGCCAAUUUGGUACACUAAUAAGAAAGUUAAAACCUGAGAAGUGAUAAGACUGUAUCGUUUGUGUCUUCAUGAACUUUACUUUUAUGUUUUCAUGACUUCUGUUCCUGUCCAAAAUAUUACACGGUCGCAUAAUUCUUCCCUAACUUGCAGAUGCUAUCCAAGCCACAUUAUCCUUCCCUGACAUGCAGAUGCUAUCUAAGCAUUUGUGUUCUAACAGAGAUAAAUAACUUUUUUCAUUAAAUCAAUAAGAGCAGCACAAAGUCUAGGUCCCUGUCUCGGUGGCAGAUGGAAGGAGGGGAAGGAGAGCAGAUGUUGUGGUCAUAUAUUUUGAUGUAACACAUGGCAAGUAGUGUAUGCCCAUUGAAAUAUGUCGACGAUAUGUAUACAAGUGUCAACAAAAGCACCAUUUAACCAUUAUGACAGAUUUUUGUAUGAUUGUUAGCUGACAGAGCAUUUGUUGUGAUGUUGCUGGAAGCGUCGUGUAUGGCAAAGGCAGACCCCGUUGUACUGCAGAGCAGAGUUAGCGACAUUCAAGUCCAUUGUUGAAUGUGUGGUUAUUACCAAAUGAUGUACAUCUCAUUUUCUUAUUAAAGUGUGGCUUUUAUUGCAAAAAAAGCUUGCGGCAAA
This is a non-coding RNA of Aegilops tauschii subsp. strangulata, 5013 nucleotides long. NCBI's taxonomy places the organism in Eukaryota, Viridiplantae, Streptophyta, Magnoliopsida, Poales, Poaceae. The record is from RefSeq and is a predicted model, not a curated record.